UACGAAGGGGGCUAGCGUUGCUCGGAAUGACUGGGCGUAAAGGGCGCGUAGGCGGUUUGCACAGUCAGGCGUGAAAUUCCUGGGCUUAACCUGGGGGCUGCGCUUGAUACGUGUGGACUGGAGUGCGGAAGAGGGUCGUGGAAUUCCCAGUGUAGAGGUGAAAUUCGUAGAUAUUGGGAAGAACACCGGUGGCGAAGGCGGCGACCUGGUCCGUGACUGACGCUGAGGCGCGAAAGCCAGGGGAGCAAACGGG
This 253-nucleotide ribosomal RNA is filed under the name uncultured bacterium. RNAcentral describes it as "partial 16S ribosomal RNA". It matches the Rfam family "Bacterial small subunit ribosomal RNA", at positions 524 to 776 of the family's 1533-position model. The record is from RNAcentral.